This 1031-nucleotide long non-coding RNA is filed under the name Arachis ipaensis. Its description in RNAcentral is "long non-coding RNA (AIPA_LNC000891)". Lineage: Eukaryota; Viridiplantae; Streptophyta; Magnoliopsida; Fabales; Fabaceae. The record is from RNAcentral.
UGCCAAAUCAAAAUGCUACACAAAGAAAAAAGGACACAAAGUGAUAAAAGAAGGGAGCAGGGUGUGGAACUAAUAAAAUCAGAACGGCUAAAAGUACAGCAUGAUUGGUAAUCCUUCCCAGAAGCCUUGCAUUGCAGUGCCAUAACAUAUCAUAUUAUCAAAUGUGAGUUAACUCCACCAACCAAAAGUUCAAUUGAAGCGCCUAGCAUGAUUAUCAAUGUGCAUAAAGACAAAUUAGUUGUUCCACACCAGAGAAAAGCCCCCAAUGUAAUGUCAUUUGUCUUCUCAUUUGUUUACAUAGGAUGGAGCUUUGGCAAAUAAGUUUCAAUAUCAAUAAUGCAUUCACAACCAGACUCGUUUUCUUUCUCUUUUUAAUUCUAUAUACGUAAAAGUGAAAAAAUUAUUCCAUAAAAAUUCUAUAAUCAGUACCAUAUUCAUCUCAAUGAUGAUUUUCAGCAACAAAAAAAUUGCUUAGUGAUAGUUUCAACAACAAAUUGUUCAGGGUUCAGUGAUAAUCAGUGACGAAUUGACAGUCGCGGAUUAUUUUCAGCAACAAAAAAGGCAUACUAGUUCAGUGAUAUUUUCAGCACCAAAAUCAAAGACAGCAACAAAACAGAAAAGGAAAGAACUGGAAAAUUUAUUGGAAUUCACCAAAUUGGGACCAGCUUCUGGUUGUGCGAAGGAAGCUGGCGGCGAGGAGGAAUCCCCGGGACCUGUUGCUUCUGCCUCCGGCAACGACGAGCACAACGAAGGUGCGGGACUGACUGCGAGACGGUGACGAGACAGGGUACGACGAAGACGACCAGUCCCAGGACCUGCUGCUUCUGCCUCCGGCGACGACGAGGGCACGGAAGGCGCGCGAGCGCGACUGAGUGCGAGACCAGAGACCGUGAUAGAGACCGGAGCCGAGAGAGCGAUGACGAGUUGAGUGCGACACCAGACAGUGAGAGAGACUGGAGCCGAGAGAGGGAGAGAGCUUGGGUGCGAGAGCAAUGACCAAUGAGCCACAGUAGGAGAUGAGAAAACUCGAG